UACGGAGGGUGCGAGCGUUGUCCGGAAUCACUGGGCGUAAAGGGCGCGUAGGCGGCGCGAGUAGUCAACGGUGAAAGCCCGGGGCUCAACCCCGGGUCGGCCGUCGAUACUCUCGUGCUUGAGCACUGUAGAGGCAGGUGGAAUUCCGGGUGUAGCGGUGGAAUGCGUAGAUAUCUGGAGGAACACCGGUGGCGAAGGCGACGUCCUGGACCGGCAUUGACGCUGAGGCGCGAAAGCCAGGGGAGCAAACGGG
RNAcentral lists this ribosomal RNA (253 nucleotides) under uncultured bacterium. RNAcentral's name for it is "partial 16S ribosomal RNA". It matches the Rfam family "Bacterial small subunit ribosomal RNA", at positions 524 to 776 of the family's 1533-position model. The record is from RNAcentral.